GACGAACGCUGGCGGCGUGCUUAACACAUGCAAGUCGAACGGAAAGGCCCUGCUUUUGUGGGGUGCUCGAGUGGCGAACGGGUGAGUAACACGUGAGUAACCUGCCCUUGACUUUUGGAUAACUUCAGGAAACUUGGGCUAAUACCAUAUAGUAGCUCCUGCUGCAUGGUAGGGGUGGGAAAGUUUCGGCUGUUGGGGAUGGACUCGCGGCUUAUCAUCUUGUUGGUGGGGUAGUGGCUUACCAAGGGUUAGAAGGGUAGCCGGCCUGGGAGGGUGAACGGGCACAAUGGGACUAAGGUACGCAGCAGAGGGGAACGGGGGGCAAUGGGGGGAAGUAUGACACAGUGAGAGGGAGUGUGUGACGAAGACGCCGGGGGUGGAAAGAAGGUCUGCGGGGAAAGAAAAGCAUUCGGCUAAGACGAAGCGUGAGUGACGGUAAUGGGUGAAGAAGCACCGGCUAACUACGUG
RNAcentral lists this ribosomal RNA (468 nucleotides) under uncultured bacterium. Its description in RNAcentral is "partial 16S ribosomal RNA". It matches the Rfam family "Bacterial small subunit ribosomal RNA", at positions 28 to 507 of the family's 1533-position model. The record is from RNAcentral.